RNAcentral lists this ribosomal RNA (1848 nucleotides) under Sorineuchora bivitta. RNAcentral describes it as "SSU rRNA". It matches the Rfam family "Eukaryotic small subunit ribosomal RNA". The record is from RNAcentral. Lineage: Eukaryota; Metazoa; Arthropoda; Insecta; Blattodea; Pseudophyllodromiidae.
GUAUUCUGGUUGAUCCUGCCAGUAGUUAUAUGCUUGUCUCAAAGACUAAGCCAUGCAUGUCUAUGUACGUGCCGAUAACUAAGGCGAAACCGCGGAAAGCUCAUUACAACAGUCAUGGUCUCUUCGACGGUGAGGUGAAAUUUACUUGGAUAACCGUGGCAAUUCUAGAGCUAAUACAUGCUUCAGAAGCCCGGACCUGGCGGAAAGGGCACACUUAUGAGACAUAAACCAACCGGGCGCUUUCGGGCGCCCGUUCAGGCUGGUGAAACUGAAUAAUGCCGAGUCGAUCGCACGGUCUCGCACCGGCGACGCGUCUUGCGAAUGUCUGACUUAUCAACUCGUUGGUAAGCUACGCGCCUACCACGGUUGUAACGGGUGACGGAGGAUCAGGGUUUGACUCCGGAGAGGGAGCCCGAGAAACAGCUGCCACAUCCAAGGAAGGCAGCAGGCGCGCAAAUUACCCACUUUCAGCCCGGAGAGGUAGUGACGAUAAAUAACGAUACGGGACUCAUCCGAGGCCCCGUAAUCGGAAUGAGAACAGUGCAAAAAAUUUAGCGAGUACCCACUGGAGGGCAAGUCAGGUGCCAGCAGCCGCGGUAACUCCCGCUCCAGUAGCGUAUAUUAAAGUUGUUGCGGUUAAAAAGCUCGUAGUCCGGGGUGUGACGCCUCGGGUUGGUUCACGACAACGCUCGUGUAAAAUUUUUUAAACUGGCCCUUCGGGGCGGCCAUCCGGCCGGUUGGCUCCGCCUAGUCCCCUCCGCGGGUCGCGGCGCGCCGACGUGUUCGGUCGCGCGGGCCCCGGAGGUAGGACGAGGGAGCCUGGUGUCCCCGUGGCGGGUGCUCUUGACCGAGUGUCCGGGCGGGCCGGCACGUUUACUUUGAACAAAUUAGAGUGCUUAAAGCAGGCUUGAAACGCCGUGAAUAGUAGUGCAUGGAAUAGUGGAAGAAGACCCCGGUUCCAUUUUGUUGGCUUGCGGAAUGUCCGGGGUAAUGACAAAGAGGGACGGAUGGAGGGGUCCGUAUUGUUACGUGAGAGGUGAAAUUCUCGGACCCCAACGGGACGAGCGGAUGCGAAGGCAUUCACCGAGAACACCUCCCUUGAUCAAGAACGAAAGUUAGAGGUCCGAAGGCGAUCAGAUACCGCCCUAGUUCUAACCGUAAACGAUGCCGACCAGCAAUCGGUCGUAGUUCCUCCGAUGACUCGACCGGCGGCUCCCGGGAAACCAGAGUGUUUGGGUUCCGGGGGAAGUAUGGUUGCAAAGCUGAAACUUAAAGGAAUUGACGGAAGGGCACAACCAGUCGAGGAGCUUGCGGCUUAAUUUGACUCAACACGGGGAAACUUACCAGACCAGGACACUUGUAGGAUUGACAGAUUGAGAGCUCUUUCUCGAUUAAGUGGGUGGUGGUGCAUGGCCGUUUUUAGUUGGUGAAUUGAUUUGUCUGCUUAAUUGCGAUAACGAACGAGACUCCAGCCUGCUAACUAGUCGUGCGGUAUCCCUCGAGCUACCGACGACGCAAAAAUCUUCUUAGAGGGACAGGCGGCUUCGAGCCGCAUGAGACGGAGCAAAAACAGGUCUGUGAUGCCCUUAGAUGUUCUGGGCGGCACGCGUGCUACACUGAAGGUGUCAGAGUGUGCUCCUAGCCCGAGAGGGCCGGGCAACCCCGAGAAACGCUUUCGUGAUUGGGACUGGGGCUUGAAACGUGCCCCACGAACGAGGAUUGUCUAGUAAGCGUCAGUCAUCAACUUGCGUUGAUUACGUCCCUGCCCUUUGUACACACCGCCCGUCGCUACUACCGAUUGAACGGUUUAGUGAGGGCUUUGGACCGCUCCGGCGCGAGUGCUUCGGC